RNAcentral lists this ribosomal RNA (245 nucleotides) under uncultured Eubacteriales bacterium. Its description in RNAcentral is "uncultured Clostridiales bacterium partial 16S ribosomal RNA". It matches the Rfam family "Bacterial small subunit ribosomal RNA", at positions 796 to 1041 of the family's 1533-position model. Lineage: Bacteria; Bacillati; Bacillota; Clostridia; Eubacteriales. The record is from RNAcentral.
CACGCCGUAAACGAUGAGUGCUAGGUGUCGGGGGUCAAACCUCGGUGCCGCAGUUAACACAUUAAGCACUCCGCCUGGGGAGUACGUACGCAAGUAUGAAACUCAAAGGAAUUGACGGGGACCCGCACAAGCAGCGGAGCAUGUGGUUUAAUUCGAUGCAACGCGAAGAACCUUACCAGGACUUGACAUCCCUCUGGCCGCUCUAGAGAUAGAGCUUUCUCUUCGGAGACAGAGGUGACAGGUGG